RNAcentral lists this ribosomal RNA (215 nucleotides) under uncultured bacterium. Its description in RNAcentral is "partial 16S ribosomal RNA". It matches the Rfam family "Bacterial small subunit ribosomal RNA", at positions 118 to 351 of the family's 1533-position model. The record is from RNAcentral.
UGGGAACCUUCCCUAUGGUUCGGAAUAGCUCAGGGAAACUUGGGGUAAUACCGGAUAAGCCCUUCGGGGAAAGAUUUAUCGCCAUUGGAUGGGCCCGCGUCGGAUUAGCUAGUUGGUGAGGUAACGGCUCACCAAGGCGACGAUCCGUAGCUGGUCUGAGAGGAUGAUCAGCCACACUGGGACUGAGACACGGCCCAGACUCCUACGGGAGGCAG